Molecule: transfer RNA, 73 nt
Filed under: Camelus bactrianus (Bactrian camel)
Lineage: Eukaryota; Metazoa; Chordata; Mammalia; Artiodactyla; Camelidae
Also listed under: 2 other names
Rfam family: tRNA
About the family: Transfer RNA (tRNA) molecules are approximately 80 nucleotides in length. Their secondary structure includes four short double-helical elements and three loops (D, anti-codon, and T loops).
Source: Rfam by way of RNAcentral
GAGGGUAUAGCUCAAGUGGAAGUGUGUGUGCUUAGCAUGCAUGAGGUCCUGGGUUCAAUCCCCAGUACUUCCA